This 62-nucleotide transfer RNA is filed under the name Perinereis cultrifera. RNAcentral's name for it is "tRNA-Asn". Lineage: Eukaryota; Metazoa; Annelida; Polychaeta; Phyllodocida; Nereididae. The record is from RNAcentral.
UAAGUGGAAGCCAAUUUCGGCAUUUAUCUGUUACAUAAACCUCAGCUUUUUAGCCCACUUAA